RNAcentral lists this ribosomal RNA (1341 nucleotides) under uncultured bacterium. Its description in RNAcentral is "bacterial SSU rRNA". It matches the Rfam family "Bacterial small subunit ribosomal RNA", at positions 45 to 1380 of the family's 1533-position model. The record is from RNAcentral.
UGCCUUACACAUGCAAGUCGAACGGUUGUACGGACUUCGGUCUGGUGGCGAGUGGCGAACGGGUGAGUAAUGCAUCGGAACGUGCCAUUGAGUGGGGGAUAACGUAGCGAAAGUUGCGCUAAUACCGCAUAUUCUGUGAGCAGGAAAGCAGGGGACCGCAAGGCCUUGCGCUCUUUGAGCGGCCGAUGUCAGAUUAGCUAGUUGGUGAGGUAAAGGCUUACCAAGGCGACGAUCUGUAGCGGGUCUGAGAGGAUGAUCCGCCACACUGGAACUGAGACACGGUCCAGACUCCUACGGGAGGCAGCAGUGGGGAAUUUUGGACAAUGGGGGCAACCCUGAUCCAGCCAUGCCGCGUGAGUGAAGAAGGCCUUCGGGUUGUAAAGCUCUUUCGGCCGGGAAGAAAUCGCAUGGGCCAAUACCCUGUGUGGAUGACGGUACCGGAAUAAGAAGCACCGGCUAACUACGUGCCAGCAGCCGCGGUAAUACGUAGGGUGCGAGCGUUAAUCGGAAUUACUGGGCGUAAAGCGUGCGCAGGCGGUUUUGUAAGACAGGCGUGAAAUCCCCGGGCUUAACCUGGGAACUGCGUUUGUGACUGCAAGGCUAGAGUACGGCAGAGGGGGGUGGAAUUCCACGUGUAGCAGUGAAAUGCGUAGAGAUGUGGAGGAACACCAAUGGCGAAGGCAGCCCCCUGGGUCGAUACUGACGCUCAUGCACGAAAGCGUGGGUAGCAAACAGGAUUAGAUACCCUGGUAGUCCACGCCCUAAACUAUGUCAACUAGGUGUUGGGUGGGUAAAACCAUUUAGUACCGUAGCUAACGCGUGAAGUUGACCGCCUGGGGAGUACGGCCGCAAGGUUAAAACUCAAAGGAAUUGACGGGGACCCGCACAAGCGGUGGAUGAUGUGGAUUAAUUCGAUGCAACGCGAAAAACCUUACCUACCCUUGACAUGCCAGGAACUUGCCAGAGAUGGCUUGGUGCCCGAAAGGGAGCCUGGACACAGGUGCUGCAUGGCUGUCGUCAGCUCGUGUCGUGAGAUGUUGGGUUAAGUCCCGCAACGAGCGCAACCCUUGUCGUUAAUUGCCAUCAUUUAGUUGGGCACUUUAACGAGACUGCCGGUGACAAACCGGAGGAAGGUGGGGAUGACGUCAAGUCCUCAUGGCCCUUAUGGGUAGGGCUUCACACGUCAUACAAUGGUCGGUACAAAGGGUUGCCAAGCCGCGAGGCGGAGCCAAUCCCAGAAAGCCGAUCGUAGUCCGGAUUGCAGGCUGCAACUCGCCUGCAUGAAGUCGGAAUCGCUAGUAAUCGUGGAUCAGCAUGUCACGGUGAAUACGUUCCCGGGUC